RNAcentral lists this ribosomal RNA (522 nucleotides) under uncultured bacterium. Its description in RNAcentral is "bacterial SSU rRNA". It matches the Rfam family "Bacterial small subunit ribosomal RNA", at positions 777 to 1297 of the family's 1533-position model. The record is from RNAcentral.
AAUAGAUACCCGGGUAGUCCACGCCGUAAACGAUGAGUGCUAAGUGUUAGAGGGUUUCCGCCCUUUAGUGCUGAAGUUAGCGCAUUAAGCACUCCGCCUGGGGAGUACGGCCGCAAGGCUGAAACUCAAAGGAAUUGACGGGGGGCCCGCACAAGCGGUGGAGCAUGUGGUUUAAUUCGAAGCAACGCGAAGAACCUUACCAGGUCUUGACAUCCUCUGACAACCCUAGAGAUAGGGCUUCUCCUUCGGGAGCAGAGUGACAGGUGGUGCAUGGUUGUCGUCAGCUCGUGUCGUGAGAUGUUGGGUUAAGUCCCGCAACGAGCGCAACCCUUGAUCUUAGUUGCCAUCAUUAAGUUGGGCACUCUAAGGUGACUGCCGGUGACAAACCGGAGGAAGGUGGGGAUGACGUCAAAUCAUCAUGCCCCUUAUGACCUGGGCUACACACGUGCUACAAUGGACGGUACAAAGAGCUGCAAGACCGCGAGGUGGAGCUAAUCUCAUAAAACCCGUUCUCAGUUCGGA